Long non-coding RNA from Passer domesticus (house sparrow), 3279 nucleotides. RefSeq lists it as uncharacterized. The transcript has 3 exons. The record is from RefSeq and is a predicted model, not a curated record. Lineage: Eukaryota; Metazoa; Chordata; Aves; Passeriformes; Passeridae.
UCCCCACAGACCCCACACAGGGGCUGGGGGGAAUCCUGGGGCUCCCUGGGGUCCGGCUCCAUCCCAGCGGGGCCGUGGCAGCCCAGGCAGACGGACUGUCCCGUCAUCCUCCAGCACGGAGCAUCUCCCAGCCUGCCGUCUUGUAUGGCUUUUUAUUCCUAUGUGAUUAUACAUCCCACUUCAUAUAGGGAUUGAAGCCGUGCAGUACGCCGGGCUCCUGCGGCAGAGAGCAGCCCCUGUGCCACGGGAGCCGGCCCAGGAGGAGCCACCAGAGCUGUCCCCAGGGUGCUGCAGGGACUGCUGGGACUCCGUCCUGCAUCCCAGGCUCCCCAGCCCUCUUGGGAUGCAGGUGAGGGGUGCCAAGCUGCUUUGGGGUGAGGCCAGCACAAGCCCACGCCUUGCAUUGCACCCCGUUGCAAGGGUGGGCCUGGUUCUGCACCACGUCUGCUGUGAGAGCCCCAGUGACUCCCUGGUGGGCUCAUCCCUGGGGAAUCUGCUGCUUUGGGACUAUCCUGGGAUAUGCAGCAUCUGUGUGCAGGCACUGCCAGCAGCACAGGGGAGGAAGAAGAGGAAAAAGAUGCUGAGGAAUGGCCACGACAGCAAGGGCUGCCCCAGGCACGAUGCUCUUCAAGGUUUCUCAAGAGGCCUCAGCCACUCUUUCAAGGUUUGUGUUAUAUCUGUCACAUUAGCGAAAAUGGUGAAAAUUGUGGCUUGUGGAGGAGAUGAAAGGCAGCCCCUUCCAAUGCCUCCAUAAAGGAAGGGCCCCAUUAACACCUAGUGAAUUAUUGGCCAUUAAUCAGGCUCUGUGCAAAAUAAAACCAUCCACAUUUAUCAUUAUUGGAUCCUUAAUGAAGUGAUAAUGGGAAUGCUGGGGAGCUGUGAUAUUAAUGUCUUCUAAGAGGCAAGAGCAGAGCCAAGGGCGGCAGCCAAGAUUUUUAAUUUACUGCCAGAAGCUCGUGCUGUUAAUAACGCUGUUACUUCUCCCGGCCGUUAGCACUGUUUGGCUGAGAGCUGCCAGCUUAGGAGAGCAAAUCAACCCUGAGCAUACCCAGACUUUGUUCACCUGCUCCCCACACGGCAUCUGAGCAUGUUUUUGCCGCCCAGUGUCCCCUGCCCAUGUGUAGGGAUAUGGCCAGGGAGCUGCUGGCCACCUUCACCCAGCUGACUCCUUCCUGAAGGCUGGCUGGUGUAGAAAGUUUUGCUUUUCUGAUUAAAAAGGGAAGGGACUGUGACCAUCAAGCCCCGGUGUCUCUUACUGUCCUCGCUCUCUCUGUGACUCUUCUCCUUAGGCACGAGCCCCCAGAGCCAGGGUGGCGUGGAGCUGGUCCCAGCACAGCCCACACACUGGGGUUGCUCUGUGUGACUGCAGCCACACUCUGGUGUCUUCAUUUGCACAGCUCUACUCCCAUGAGGCCAAUAUCCCAUCCAGGACAGCACGGACAAGCUGCAAAGCCCUGCUCAGCUGUGGUGACUCACUUGAGUUCCCAAUGGGAAAGUCAUUGCUCCUGCCAGCCCGGAGGCAAAUCAUUACCAGGCAGGCUCUCCCAACAGGCACCAGCAGGGAAGAUGUUACUGUGGAGGAAGGAGGCUGGAGGAGGACUCCACACAGCUGGCUUGCCACUGCACUUCAUUCAUCCCCAUCCUUACACUGUGCAGUGAAGGUAUGUCAUCCUCUUUGUCACUAUGCACUGCUUGUGUCACCCAGCCAGUAUCAUGAACUUCUCUCUGCCAACGUGCUUCCUAGCCACACUCCUGGGUGUGCAUCCUGCUGGGCCUGGUCUCUGUCAUCUCAGUACCCUGGUGUGGGAAGAGCUGUAGGGCACUGUGCUGGCCUGUGGAGCAGGUGCUGGGUGUCCCCUUCCCACCACAUCCCCCCAGCAGCUCCAUGCUUCAGGUGAGCAGGCCUUGCUCUUACUGCUUUUAUAUCCUUCAGUCACUGCAAUUUGCUGCAGUGGACCCCUAAAACCCCACUGCUGAGCUGCUCUUGUGCUAGGGGCACUGGAGGUGCAACAGUGCAGCAAGGGCUCUCUGUGGUAGCCCUGACAUGGCCUCAGCUUCCCCACGUCUCUUAAAUUAACUAUAUCUGAAGCAAGCCUUAAAUCCAGUCUCCUUGUUUGUAAUGUGACCUUUUACCUUCCUCUGAUCCCACCAAUUACAAGUGCUUGUUUUUUUUUUGCUGUGGACGUCCACUCAUGUGUCUAAUUAGUGGAUUCUUUUUGUCAAAGACACUAGCAGCCUCAACAGUGAGCCCUAAUUUAAGUAGUUUGCAUUUGUCUGCAGCAUUGGUGCUUUAAUUUACUCCUGCUCCUAAUUAAGUGCAUCUGGGUGUCUGCAGAGGGAGCUCUCAUGAUCUCUCCAUGGCUCUAAUUAAAAUGGCCUGGAUGUCCAUGACGUUGGUGCCUGUCAAGCCUGUCACCAGGAGGUGAUGCCCACCUUGGAACUGGCUGAAGAACGUGUAGGAGUCAUUGUUCCUGAGGAAGGCCUCCACAUCCAGGCCCUCCUGGAGCGCCUCAGCCACCAGCCCUGGGCUGCAGAAGGCUCCUGCUGCCUCCGUUGGCCCAUCCUGUCCGUCUGUCCCCCCACUGAGGAAGAGGAUCUCACAGCUCCCCUGGGGGCUGCUGGCUCCUGUGGCCUGAGCCUGGUGCAGCCCCAGCCCCACACGCAGGGCCAGCUCCUGGUUUCUGCCUCCCUUGCCGGUUCCCUGGAGCUGGACCGUGGUUUCUCCUCCAGCCAGGAUGCAGACUGGUCUGUCAGGCCCUAACCCUCGCAGGGCCUGCAGGAACUCCUUCAGGUCCAAACCUGGGAUCUGCAGCUCUGCUGCCAGCUGCAGGACAUUGCCCCUCAGCUGGUCCCCCAGGGGCCCUUCUCCGAGGCUGGCGAAGGCCAGGCAGACCAGCUGGAUCAGCUGGCAGUACAGCGUGGCAACACGGCCCACCUCCCCACGGACUGCUGCACUCAGGAGCAGAGCUGCAUAGCCCAGCCCCUCAGCCUGGCGUCUGGCCUCUUCCAGAGCCACCGUGUUGGACCCAAGGAUGAUGUUGGAAACGUGGGAGUAGUUUUCUGGAGCAGUGGGCUUGGUGGGAGAGCUGGAGAGGACCAUUUCCACUGACUUGGGCAGGUCGUGCAGCAGGUUGUAUUUGGAUGUGCCAGCUGGGCCAGCCCUCCACCCUUCAGCACGGACAGAGUCUUCCGGACAAUGUUCAGCUCCUGUAUGGCAGCUCCUCGGGAAGCCAGCAUCUUUGUGAGUUUCUCCUUCUCCUCGAGGAGGAUGGGAGGGAU